RNAcentral lists this ribosomal RNA (805 nucleotides) under uncultured bacterium. RNAcentral's name for it is "bacterial SSU rRNA". It matches the Rfam family "Bacterial small subunit ribosomal RNA", at positions 41 to 830 of the family's 1533-position model. The record is from RNAcentral.
GGGGGGGCCUAUACAUGCAGUCGAGCGGACAGAUGGGAGCUUGCUCCCUGAUGUUAGCGGCGGACGGGUGAGUAACACGUGGGUAACCUGCCUGUAAGACUGGGAUAACUCCGGGAAACCGGGGCUAAUACCGGAUGGUUGUCUGAACCGCAUGGUUCAGACAUAAAAGGUGGCUUCGGCUACCACUUACAGAUGGACCCGCGGCGCAUUAGCUAGUUGGUGAGGUAACGGCUCACCAAGGCGACGAUGCGUAGCCGACCUGAGAGGGUGAUCGGCCACACUGGGACUGAGACACGGCCCAGACUCCUACGGGAGGCAGCAGUAGGGAAUCUUCCGCAAUGGACGAAAGUCUGACGGAGCAACGCCGCGUGAGUGAUGAAGGUUUUCGGAUCGUAAAGCUCUGUUGUUAGGGAAGAACAAGUGCCGUUCAAAUAGGGCGGCACCUUGACGGUACCUAACCAGAAAGCCACGGCUAACUACGUGCCAGCAGCCGCGGUAAUACGUAGGUGGCAAGCGUUGUCCGGAAUUAUUGGGCGUAAAGGGCUCGCAGGCGGUUUCUUAAGUCUGAUGUGAAAGCCCCCGGCUCAACCGGGGAGGGUCAUUGGAAACUGGGGAACUUGAGUGCAGAAGAGGAGAGUGGAAUUCCACGUGUAGCGGUGAAAUGCGUAGAGAUGUGGAGGAACACCAGUGGCGAAGGCGACUCUCUGGUCUGUAACUGACGCUGAGGAGCGAAAGCGUGGGGAGCGAACAGAUUAGAUACCCUGGUAGUCCACGCCGUAAACGAUGAGUGCUAAGUGUUAGGGGG